Molecule: long non-coding RNA, 836 nt
Organism: Xenopus laevis (African clawed frog)
Lineage: Eukaryota; Metazoa; Chordata; Amphibia; Anura; Pipidae
Exons: 3
Source: RefSeq, a predicted model, not a curated record
AUACUGUUACAGGAAUGGUUCUCCAAGAAGCUUUUAAUUAUUUACUAAAGGAUUUAUCAUUGAUUUUCUAGAUUCUUUCAAGGACUGGAUAUGAUGCCGGAGUGGAUUGGUGGGCAUUUGUAGUUAUGCUUUACAAAAUGGCAACCAGAAGAUAUCCAUUCAGCCAGAAUUCCAUUCAGAAGCUGAUCCAUUCAGUCAUGUAUGAGCAGCCUCCUUUUCCAGUGAAUCUCAGCAGCGAUUUCAAAGAACUGCUGCAGGAGAGAAGAAUCCCAACAAGCGCCUGGGCACGACAGGAGACAUAAGGCAGCACCGAUUUUAUCAAUCUGUUGACUGGACAGCGCUGGAGAAUAUGAAGAUCUCACCCCCUGCCAAGCCAAGAGCAACAAUGGAGCCCCAUGAACUGCAUCGAAUCAACUCCACAUGGGGGCCUGGACCAAAUCCACAGAACUUGAACAACAUAUUGGGCCUGACAUUACAGUGGGAACCAGUAGCAAUUAGUCCAUUAAGACUAAGAAACCGACUUACACAACUAAUUCCAGGCACAUCUGCAAGCCUAACUAUCCUGAUUAUCCUAAUACUAAAAACAAAAAUAAAUAAUAACAAAAAAUGACUUGUUACAUCUUGUCUGUUUUUAUUUCUCUACUUUAUAUUUAUCUGCUUUCAGUCAUUAACCACAUAUUCUUUGUUUUUUGUGCUAUAAAAAUGUAAUGCAUGGUACUCUCAUGCCUAUUUCGUGUGACUUUUCUGGAUUGUCAUUUUAUCUAUGUGAAAUGCUGUCACGGAUGCUUACUGAUAUUUGUUGUUCAAAAUACUGAAAAUAAAGUGUUUCAAAAAAA